GGGGAACUUGCCAUAUUGAUUAUGCAACUGCAGAAGGUGCAAACAAGGCGGUUGAGUUGGAUGGCGAAUACUUAUUGGGCCAUCCCGUUGUCCUUGGAUUUUCUCGUGAAACCAUAUUUAUACGAGGUUUGGAUACUUCUUUAGGAUUUGACCAGGUCCAAAGCUCCCUAGAAGCACUUUUCUCAACUUGCGGAAAGAUCUUAUACAUGC
This is a long non-coding RNA of Papaver somniferum (opium poppy), 210 nucleotides long. RefSeq lists it as uncharacterized. The transcript has 3 exons. The record is from RefSeq and is a predicted model, not a curated record. NCBI's taxonomy places the organism in Eukaryota, Viridiplantae, Streptophyta, Magnoliopsida, Ranunculales, Papaveraceae.